CGGGGAGUAGUAUAGAGGUAGUACGCGGCCUUCGGGAGGCUGUAGCCCGAGUUCAAUUCUCGGCUCCCCGACCA
RNAcentral lists this transfer RNA (74 nucleotides) under Parcubacteria group bacterium CG11_big_fil_rev_8_21_14_0_20_39_14. RNAcentral's name for it is "tRNA-Pro". It matches the Rfam family "tRNA". Rfam says of the family: Transfer RNA (tRNA) molecules are approximately 80 nucleotides in length. Their secondary structure includes four short double-helical elements and three loops (D, anti-codon, and T loops). The record is from RNAcentral.